GAUGAACGCUGGCGGCGUGCCUAAUACAUGCAAGUCGAGCGAACGGACGAGAAGCUUGCUUCUCUGAUGUUAGCGGCGGACGGGUGAGUAACACGUGGAUAACCUACCUAUAAGACUGGGAUAACUUCGGGAAACCGGAGCUAAUACCGGAUGAUAUUUUGAACCGCAUGGUUCAAAAGUGAAAGACGGUCUUGCUGUCACUUAUAGAUGGAUCCGCGCUGCAUUAGCUAGUUGGUAAGGUAACGGCUUACCAAGGCAACGAUGCAUAGCCGACCUGAGAGGGUGAUAGGCCACACUGGAACUGAGACACGGUCCAGACUCCUACGGGAGGCAGCAGUAGGGAAUCUUCCGCAAUGGGCGAAAGCCUGACGGAGCAACGCCGCGUGAGUGAUGAAGGUCUUCGGAUCGUAAAACUCUGUUAUUAGGGAAGAACAUAUGUGUAAGUAACUGUGCACAUCUUGACGGUAACUAAUCAGAAAGCCACGGCUAACUACGUG
This 497-nucleotide ribosomal RNA is filed under the name uncultured bacterium. RNAcentral's name for it is "partial 16S ribosomal RNA". It matches the Rfam family "Bacterial small subunit ribosomal RNA", at positions 28 to 507 of the family's 1533-position model. The record is from RNAcentral.